Molecule: ribosomal RNA, 253 nt
Filed under: uncultured bacterium
Lineage: Bacteria
Description: partial 16S ribosomal RNA
Rfam family: Bacterial small subunit ribosomal RNA
Source: RNAcentral
UACGUAGGGGGCAAGCGUUGUCCGGAAUCAUUGGGCGUAAAGAGCGUGUAGGCGGCCCGAUAAGUCCGCCGUGAAAGUCCAGGGCUCAACCCUGGAAUGCCGGUGGAAACUGUCGGGCUGGAGUCCGGAAGAGGCGAGUGGAAUUCCUGGUGUAGCGGUGAAAUGCGCAGAUAUCAGGAGGAACACCAAUGGCGAAGGCAGCUCGCUGGGACGGUACUGACGCUGAGGCGCGAAAGCGUGGGGAGCGAACAGG